This 82-nucleotide transfer RNA is filed under the name Dreissena polymorpha. Its description in RNAcentral is "tRNA-Ser". The record is from RNAcentral. Lineage: Eukaryota; Metazoa; Mollusca; Bivalvia; Myida; Dreissenidae.
GUUGUCGCGGCUGAGUGGUUCAGGUGAUGAACUAGAAAUCUUUUGGAAUCUUCCCGCGCUGGUUCGAAUCCUGCCGACAUCG